Molecule: unclassified non-coding RNA, 280 nt
Filed under: Hevea brasiliensis (rubber tree)
Lineage: Eukaryota; Viridiplantae; Streptophyta; Magnoliopsida; Malpighiales; Euphorbiaceae
Source: RNAcentral
ACCUCCCUUGUUGGUUGUUUACAAAUGAGUACAAGUAGACAACUAUUUUAAAAGGAAAAGUUUUAAACCAUUACUUGACCUAAUUACAUUUCCAUAAUGCAGAUUUUGUACAUAAAAUACACACGUUAAGAAAAAACCCCACGUUUAUAAAGAAACGUUUCACUUGAUGCACUCAUGAAGCAGAACUCUACGCGAGGCGAUUGUCAAGAGCCAUCAAGGUGUGGGAAAGAAAUGUUUUUUUUUUCGUUUUGGUGAUCGAAUCUUAGCUUAGAGAAGAUUG